This 650-nucleotide ribosomal RNA is filed under the name Salmonella enterica. RNAcentral's name for it is "partial 23S ribosomal RNA". It matches the Rfam family "Bacterial large subunit ribosomal RNA", at positions 711 to 1273 of the family's 2925-position model. RNAcentral also lists the same sequence under 2 other names. The record is from RNAcentral. Lineage: Bacteria; Pseudomonadati; Pseudomonadota; Gammaproteobacteria; Enterobacterales; Enterobacteriaceae.
AGACCCGAAACCCGGUGAUCUAGCCAUGGGCAGGUUGAAGGUUGGGUAACACUAACUGGAGGACCGAACCGACUAAUGUUGAAAAAUUAGCGGAUGACCUGUGGCUGGGGGUGAAAGGCCAAUCAAACCGGGAGAUAGCUGGUUCUCCCCGAAAGCUAUUUAGGUAGCGCCUCGUGAAUUCAUCUCCGGGGGUAGAGCACUGUUUCGGCUAGGGGGCCAUCCCGGCUUACCAACCCGAUGCAAACUGCGAAUACCGGAGAAUGUUAUCACGGGAGACACACGGCGGGUGCUAACGUCCGUCGUGAAGAGGGAAACAACCCAGACCGCCAGCUAAGGUCCCAAAGUCAUGGUUAAGUGGGAAACGAUGUGGGAAGGCCCAGACAGCCAGGAUGUUGGCUUAGAAGCAGCCAUCAUUUAAAGAAAGCGUAAUAGCUCACUGGUCGAGUCGGCCUGCGCGGAAGAUGUAACGGGGCUAAACCAUGCACCGAAGCUGCGGCAGCGAACGUAUCACCCAAGACAACUUUACGGAGUUGACGAUUGACGGAGCGAAGCGACGUCAAAGCGUUCAUUAAAGUCGAGUUGGCUUAGGGAUACGUUCGUUGGGUAGGGGAGCGUUCUGUAAGCCUGUGAAGGUGUGUCGUGAGGCAUGC